Molecule: ribosomal RNA, 1362 nt
Filed under: uncultured bacterium
Lineage: Bacteria
Description: 16S ribosomal RNA
Rfam family: Bacterial small subunit ribosomal RNA
Source: RNAcentral
GAUGAACGCUAGCGACAGGCUUAACACAUGCAAGUCGAGGGGCAGCAGGGGAGUAGCAAUACUCCCGCUGGCGACCGGCGCACGGGUGAGUAACACGUAUGCAACCUGCCCUUGUCAGGGGGAUAAGCGGAAGAAAUUCCGUCUAAUACCGCAUAACGCUGCGGGGAGACAUCUCCCUGCAGCCAAAGAUUUAUCGGACAAGGAUGGGCAUGCGGCGCAUUAGCUUGUUGGCGGGGUAACGGCCCACCAAGGCGACGAUGCGUAGGGGUUCUGAGAGGAAGGUCCCCCACACUGGUACUGAGACACGGACCAGACUCCUACGGGAGGCAGCAGUGAGGAAUAUUGGUCAAUGGCCGGGAGGCUGAACCAGCCAAGUCGCGUGAGGGAAGACGGUCCUAUGGAUUGUAAACCUCUUUUGUCAGGGAACAAAAACUGCCACGCGUGGCAGGAUGAGAGUACCUGAAGAAAAAGCAUCGGCUAACUCCGUGCCAGCAGCCGCGGUAAUACGGAGGAUGCGAGCGUUAUCCGGAUUUAUUGGGUUUAAAGGGUGCGUAGGCGGACAGUUAAGUCAGCGGUAAAAUUGAGAGGCUCAACCUCUUCCCGCCGUUGAAACUGAUUGUCUUGAGUGGGCGAGAAGUAUGCGGAAUGCGUGGUGUAGCGGUGAAAUGCAUAGAUAUCACGCAGAACUCCGAUUGCGAAGGCAGCAUACCGGCGCCCAACUGACGCUGAAGCACGAAAGCGUGGGUAUCGAACAGGAUUAGAUACCCUGGUAGUCCACGCAGUAAACGAUGAAUACUAAUUGUUCGGGUCGAGUGAGAUCUGAGUGAUACAGCGAAAGCGUUAAGUAUUCCACCUGGGGAGUACGCCGGCAACGGUGAAACUCAAAGGAAUUGACGGGGGCCCGCACAAGCGGAGGAACAUGUGGUUUAAUUCGAUGAUACGCGAGGAACCUUACCCGGGCUCAAACGACACAGGAAUGAUCUGAGAAAUCAGGCAGUCCUUCGGGACCUGUGUCGAGGUGCUGCAUGGUUGUCGUCAGCUCGUGCCGUGAGGUGUCGGCUUAAGUGCCAUAACGAGCGCAACCCCCAUCGACAGUUGCCAGCAGGUCAAGCUGGGCACUCUGUCGAGACUGCCGGCGCAAGCUGUGAGGAAGGCGGGGAUGACGUCAAAUCAGCACGGCCCUUACGUCCGGGGCGACACACGUGUUACAAUGGCAGGUACAGCGGGAAGCCACCUGGCGACAGGGAGCGGAACCCGAAAGCCUGUCUCAGUUCGGAUUGGAGUCUGCAACUCGACUCCAUGAAGCUGGAUUCGCUAGUAAUCGCGCAUCAGCCACGGCGCGGUGAAUACGUUCCCGGGCCU